GACGAACGCUGGCGGCGUGCCUAACACAUGCAAGUCGAGCGAAUGAAGUUCCUUCGGGAAUGGAUUUAGCGGCGGACGGGUGAGUAACACGUGGGCAACCUGCCUCAUAGAGGGGAAUAGCCUUCCGAAAGGGAGAUUAAUACCGCAUAAGAUUGUAGUACCGCAUGAUACAGCAAUUAAAGGAGCAAUCCGCGAUGAGAUGGGCCCGCGGCGCAUUAGCUAGUUGGUGAGGUAACGGCUCACCAAGGCGACGAUGCGUAGCCGAACUGAGAGGGUGAUCGGCCACAUUGGGACUGAGACACGGCCCAGACUCCUACGGGAGGCAGCAGUGGGGAAUAUUGCACAAUGGGGGAAACCCUGAUGCAGCAACGCCGCGUGAGUGAUGACGGCCUUCGGGUUGUAAAGCUCUGUCUUCGGGGACGAUAAUGACGGUACCUGAGGAGGAAGCCACGGCUAACUACGUGCCAGCAGCCGCCGCGG
Molecule: ribosomal RNA, 480 nt
Filed under: uncultured bacterium
Lineage: Bacteria
Description: partial 16S ribosomal RNA
Rfam family: Bacterial small subunit ribosomal RNA
Source: RNAcentral